This 77-nucleotide small RNA is filed under the name Flavobacterium branchiophilum. Its description in RNAcentral is "Flavo-1 RNA". Lineage: Bacteria; Pseudomonadati; Bacteroidota; Flavobacteriia; Flavobacteriales; Flavobacteriaceae. The record is from RNAcentral.
UGUGAGAGAUAGCAGUGGAAAUCCUUUUUUGCCCCACUUUUUUGGGAAAAAAAGAUUAUCUCACAAUAUUAUAUUUC